GCUGGAAUGGUGCGGGAAAUAGUUGAUGAACACAAAGCCCCGCGUCUGAUCGAUGAUGUGGAACAGCGGAUUCCAGUCGAACCAGUCGAUCAUCUUUCUGGGCAACUGGUUGGCGACGAACAUCUUGCCCGACGCGAUCAUGCUGGCCCGG
Molecule: non-coding RNA, 151 nt
Filed under: Palleronia abyssalis
Lineage: Bacteria; Pseudomonadati; Pseudomonadota; Alphaproteobacteria; Rhodobacterales; Roseobacteraceae
Description: Ruegeria cis2 sRNA
Rfam family: Ruegeria cis2 sRNA
About the family: Cis-encoded.
Source: Rfam by way of RNAcentral